GAGUUUGAUCCUGGCUCAGAUUGAACGCUGGCGGUAUGCUUAACACAUGCAAGUCGAACGGUAGCAGGCCUUCGGGCGCUGACGAGUGGCGGACGGGUGAGUAACGCAUAGGAAUCUGCCCUGUAGUGGGGGACAACGUAGGGAAACUUACGCUAAUACCGCAUACGCCCUGAGGGGGAAAGCCGGGGACCUUUUAGGCCUGGCGCUAGAGGAUGAGCCUAUGUCGGAUUAGCUAGUUGGUGGGGUAAAGGCCCACCAAGGCGACGAUCCGUAGCUGGUCUGAGAGGAUGAUCAGCCACACUGGGACUGAGACACGGCCCAGACUCCUACGGGAGGCAGCAGUGGGGAAUAUUGGACAAUGGGCGGAAGCCUGAUCCAGCAAUACCGCGUGUGUGAAGAAGGCCUGAGGGUUGUAAAGCACUUUCAAUGGGGAGGAAAAAGGGUUGGCCAAUACCCGGCCUAUUGACAUUACCCAUAGAGGAAGCACCGGCUAACUCCGUGCCAGCAGCCGCGGUAAUACGGAGGGUGCGAGCGUUAAUCGGAAUUACUGGGCGUAAAGCGUGCGUAGGCGGUUAUUUAAGUCAGAUGUGAAAGCCCCGGGCUUAACCUGGGAACGGCAUUUGAAACUGGGUAGCUAGAGUUAGGUAGAGGGGAGUGGAAAUUUCAGGUGUAGCGGUGAAAUGCGUAGAUAUCUGAAGGAACACCAGUGGCGAAGGCGGCUCCCUGGACCCAAACUGACGCUGAGGUACGAAAGCGUGGGUAGCAAACAGGAUUAGAUACCCUGGUAGUCACGCCGUAAACGAUGCCGACUAGCCGUUGGGUCCCCUUUUGGGGAUUUAGUGGCGCAGCUAACGCGGUAAGUCGGCCGCCUGGGGAGUACGGCCGCAAGGUUAAAACUCAAAUGAAUUGACGGGGGCCCGCACAAGCGGUGGAGCAUGUGGUUUAAUUCGAUGCAACGCGAAGAACCUUACCUGCCCUUGACAUCCUGCGAACUUUCUAGAGAUAGAUUGGUGCCUUCGGGAACGCGGAGACAGGUGCUGCAUGGCUGUCGUCAGCUCGUGUUGUGAAAUGUUGGGUUAAGUCCCGUAACGAGCGCAACCCUCAUCCCUAGUUGCCAGCGGGUCAAGCCGGGAACUCUAAGGAGACUGCCGGUGAUAAACCGGAGGAAGGUGGGGACGACGUCAAGUCAUCAUGGCCCUUAUGGGCAGGGCUACACACGUGCUACAAUGGCCGGUACAGAGGGCGGCGAACCAGCAAUGGCGAGCGAAUCCCAGAAAGCCGGUCUUAGUCCGGAUCGGGGUCUGCAACUCGACCCCGUGAAGUCGGAAUCGCUAGUAGUCGCGAAUCAGAAUGUCGCGGUGAAUACGUUCCCGGGCCUUGUACACACCGCCCGUCACACCAUGGGAGUGGGUUGCUCCAGAAGUAGUUAGCCUAACCUUUUAGGGGGGCGAUUACCACGGAGUGAUUCAUGACUGGGGUGAAGUCGUAACAAGGUAGCCCUAGGGGAACCUGGGGCUGGAUCACCUCCUUUCUA
This 1534-nucleotide ribosomal RNA is filed under the name uncultured bacterium. Its description in RNAcentral is "bacterial SSU rRNA". It matches the Rfam family "Bacterial small subunit ribosomal RNA". The record is from RNAcentral.